RNAcentral lists this ribosomal RNA (204 nucleotides) under uncultured Smithella sp. RNAcentral describes it as "partial 16S ribosomal RNA". It matches the Rfam family "Bacterial small subunit ribosomal RNA", at positions 1179 to 1382 of the family's 1533-position model. The record is from RNAcentral. Lineage: Bacteria; Pseudomonadati; Thermodesulfobacteriota; Syntrophia; Syntrophales; Smithellaceae.
AUGACGUCAAGUCCUCAUGGCCUUUAUGCUUAGGGCUACACACGUGCUACAAUGGGUGGUACAAAGAGCAGCCAACUCGCGAGAGCGCGCUAAUCUCAAAAAGCCAUCCUCAGUUCGGAUUGGAGUCUGCAACUCGACUCCAUGAAGUUGGAAUCGCUAGUAAUCGCGGAUCAGCAUGCCGCGGUGAAUACGUUCCCGGGCCUU